AUGUCGCGCGGCAGAGAUUGGGACGGCUCCAACGUCCACGGGGACCACAUCGACUUCCUCCGCAAGACGCGGCGGUUGCCCGGCAAGGAUCAUGUGCGGGUCCGUCUUGCGCCGGAGAGGGAGAUCUCGCCGGCAUCAGAGGAGGGCGAGCGGGUAAUCUUCCGCUCGCACUGCCUGCACGGCCUUGGCCUGCCUGCGAGCGGCUUCUUCCGUUCCUUCCUCGAGUUCUACCAGCUCCAGCCGCACCACCUCACUCCAAACACGGUGGUGCUGCUGUCCGCCUUCGUCACUUUGUGCGAGGGCUUCCUCGACGUCCUUCCCAACCUCGAGCUCUGGGGGGAAUUCUUCCAGUCCAAGCUCGGUACCGCCAUGAGGGGCGUGCCGGCUCAGAGCGGUGCCUUCAUCGCGAUGCGGAGGCCGGUAGCCGACAACCCUUUUCCUCCCAUCACGCUGAUCCAGUCGGUGAAGCUCUGGCAGAAAUCCUACUUCUAUGUGAAGAACGUCGCUCCGCAAGGCGACUUCGUCAACUUGCCGGCUUAUGUAGCCGGCCCGCUGACUAGGAGGCGGCCCCAAUGGUCCUAUCGGGCCAGAACACUGUCGCCUGCUGGAGCCGCCGCCGUCACGCGACUCCGGGUAUUGGUCCAGUCGGAGGGCCUGACCGGGCCUGACCUGCUGGCCGCCUUCAUGGCGCGCCGGGUGCUCCCGCUCAAAGGCCGCCCUCAUAUGAUUUGUCAAAUGAGCGGCCAACUCGAUCCGAGUCGGCUGUGUACCAAGGAGAUGCCUCAUGCAGAGGUAGCUCACAUGGUGAACUACCUUGCGAACUGCAAGCUCGCCGACGAGUGGCAGUUUGGGAAGGAGCCGUACUCCUGUGCCAAUCCCCCGCCUACGGUAAGCUUUCUUUUUCUUCUCUUCUUUAAUUUUGUCACCAAGCUUCUCUUGGCCGACUCUGACCAGUCGGUUUGUCUUGUAGAGCCCCCUCCUUCGACCUGCAGCCGGGGCAGCGGGGGUGGAGCGCCAAUAUCUCCCUGA
Molecule: ribosomal RNA, 1029 nt
Filed under: Triticum aestivum (bread wheat)
Lineage: Eukaryota; Viridiplantae; Streptophyta; Magnoliopsida; Poales; Poaceae
Description: partial small subunit ribosomal RNA
Source: RNAcentral